CAGUCGCCGCGGGAAUACGAAGGGGGCUAGCGUUGCUCGGAAUGACUGGGCGUAAAGGGCGCGUAGGCGGAUGGCACAGUCAGAUGUGAAAUUCCCGGGCUUAACCUGGGGGCUGCAUUUGAUACGUGUUGUCUAGAGUGAGGAAGAGGGUCGUGGAAUUCCCAGUGUAGAGGUGAAAUUCGUAGAUAUUGGGAAGAACACCGGUGGCGCAGGCGGCGACCUGGUUCAUUACUGACGCUGAGGCGCGAAAGCGUGGGGAGCAAACAGGAUUAGAUACCCCCGUAGUCCCUGUCUCUUAUAC
This 301-nucleotide ribosomal RNA is filed under the name uncultured bacterium. RNAcentral describes it as "partial 16S ribosomal RNA". It matches the Rfam family "Bacterial small subunit ribosomal RNA", at positions 509 to 807 of the family's 1533-position model. The record is from RNAcentral.